AGCGAACGCUGGCGGCAGGCUUAACACAUGCAAGUCGAACGGAAACACCCUACGUUUUUGCUGUUCUCGGUGGCCGGUCGGGUAAGGGACACGUAAGUAUCCUACCCUUCUCUUUCGUAUAGCUUCACGAAGCUAAGCCUAAUACCAUAUAGCAUCUGCUCCUGCGUUGUAAGGAGUGGAACUUUGCGGCUGUUGGGGUUGGACUCGCGGCUGAUGGGCUUGUUGGUUGGGUAGUUGCUUGCCCAGGCAUUGACGGGUAGCCGGCCUGAGAGCGUGAACGGCGACAUUGGGCCUGAGAUAGGGAGCAGACGCCUACGGGAGGCAGCAGUGGGGAAUAUUGUACAAUGGGAGGAAGCCUGAUGCUGAAACGCCGCGUGUGGGAUGACGGCUUUCGGGUUGUAAAAAGCUGUAGCUUGUGACGACGCGGGAGUGACGGUAACGGGUAAAGAAGCACCGGCUAACUACGUG
Molecule: ribosomal RNA, 468 nt
Filed under: uncultured bacterium
Lineage: Bacteria
Description: partial 16S ribosomal RNA
Rfam family: Bacterial small subunit ribosomal RNA
Source: RNAcentral